AGUGAACGCUGGCGGUAGGCCUAACACAUGCGAGUCGAACGGCAGCACAGUAAGAGCUUGCUCUUACGGGUGGCGAGUGGCGGACGGGUGAGGAAUACAUCGGAAUCUACUUUUUCGUGGGUGAUAACGUAGGGACACUUACGCUAAUACCGCAUACGACCUACGGGUGAAAGCAGGGGAUCUUCGGACCUUGCGCGAUUGAAUGAGCCGAUGUCGGAUUAGCUAGUUGGCGGGGUAAAGGCCCACCAAGGCGACGAUCCGUAGCUGGUCUGAGAGGAUGAUCAGCCACACUGGAACUGAGACACGGUCCAGACUCCUACGGGAGGCAGCAGUGGGGAAUAUUGGACAAUGGGCGAAAGCCUGAUCCAGCCAUACCGCGUGGGUGAAGAAGGCCUUCGGGUUGUAAAGCCCUUUUGUUGGGAAAGAAAAGCAGCAGGUUAAUACCCCGCUGUUCUGACGGUACCCAAAGAAUAAGCACCGGCUAACUUCGUG
Molecule: ribosomal RNA, 492 nt
Filed under: uncultured bacterium
Lineage: Bacteria
Description: partial 16S ribosomal RNA
Rfam family: Bacterial small subunit ribosomal RNA
Source: RNAcentral